AGGACGAACGCUGGCGGCGUGCCUAAUGCACGCAAGUCGAGCGACGAAUAGGUGAGGGUAACCAAGCCUAUUACGGAGCGGCGAACGGGUGAGUAACACGUGAGCAACCUGCCCCGAAGACCGGGAUAGCCCAGGGAAACUUGGAUUAAUACCGGAUAUCCUCUUUUGAUCGCAUGGUCGUUGGAGGAAAUGCUUUUACGCUUCGGGAUGGGCUCGCGGCCUAUCAGCUUGUUGGUGGGGUAACGGCCUACCAAGGCGUCGACGGGUAGCUGGUCUGAGAGGACGAUCAGCCACACUGGGACUGAGACACGGCCCAGACUCCUACGGGAGGCAGCAGCAGGGUAAUUUGCGCAAUGGGCGAAAG
Molecule: ribosomal RNA, 364 nt
Filed under: uncultured soil bacterium
Lineage: Bacteria
Description: bacterial SSU rRNA
Rfam family: Bacterial small subunit ribosomal RNA
Source: RNAcentral